GGGGGCAAAAACAAACACGCAAAUCAAGAAUGGAGUGAUUCAUUCUUCUUCAGACAACUGCUGACAUUUUCUUAAAUCAUCCCUGCUUCGUUGCCAUCCCAAAGCAUCAUCAUAGAGGGGAACUGUAGAGAGAUUGGCGUCGUUCAGUGUGUGGACUAACACGGAAUCCCUUUGGAAAAUUAUAGGAGACAAAUAAAGGCCUGCUCAAAUGGAAUAAUCGUGAGAUCGAUCUUAUGUAUAAAACAUGUUGAUUUCUGUGAAUAACUCAGUCUAGUCUGCUCAUUAGCCUCUUGGUAAUGACAUUGCAGGGAAUUUGUUUUUUCUUUUUCUCAUUACGUCAUUUACUUCUACUGC
This 354-nucleotide long non-coding RNA is filed under the name Homo sapiens (human). RNAcentral's name for it is "HSALNT0348775". Lineage: Eukaryota; Metazoa; Chordata; Mammalia; Primates; Hominidae. The record is from RNAcentral.